RNAcentral lists this ribosomal RNA (723 nucleotides) under Bacillus subtilis. Its description in RNAcentral is "bacterial SSU rRNA". It matches the Rfam family "Bacterial small subunit ribosomal RNA", at positions 190 to 898 of the family's 1533-position model. The record is from RNAcentral. Lineage: Bacteria; Bacillati; Bacillota; Bacilli; Caryophanales; Bacillaceae.
UGGUUCAAACAUAAAAGGUGGCUUCGGCUACCACUUACAGAUGGACCCGCGGCGCAUUAGCUAGUUGGUGAGGUAACGGCUCACCAAGGCAACGAUGCGUAGCCGACCUGAGAGGGUGAUCGGCCACACUGGGACUGAGACACGGCCCAGACUCCUACGGGAGGCAGCAGUAGGGAAUCUUCCGCAAUGGACGAAAGUCUGACGGAGCAACGCCGCGUGAGUGAUGAAGGUUUUCGGAUCGUAAAGCUCUGUUGUUAGGGAAGAACAAGUACCGUUCGAAUAGGGCGGUACCUUGACGGUACCUAACCAGAAAGCCACGGCUAACUACGUGCCAGCAGCCGCGGUAAUACGUAGGUGGCAAGCGUUGUCCGGAAUUAUUGGGCGUAAAGGGCUCGCAGGCGGUUUCUUAAGUCUGAUGUGAAAGCCCCCGGCUCAACCGGGGAGGGUCAUUGGAAACUGGGGAACUUGAGUGCAGAAGAGGAGAGUGGAAUUCCACGUGUAGCGGUGAAAUGCGUAGAGAUGUGGAGGAACACCAGUGGCGAAGGCGACUCUCUGGUCUGUAACUGACGCUGAGGAGCGAAAGCGUGGGGAGCGAACAGGAUUAGAUACCCUGGUAGUCCACGCCGUAAACGAUGAGUGCUAAGUGUUAGGGGGUUUCCGCCCCUUAGUGCUGCAGCUAACGCAUUAAGCACUCCGCCUGGGGAGUACGGUCGCAAGACUGAA